This 537-nucleotide ribosomal RNA is filed under the name uncultured Mycobacterium sp. RNAcentral's name for it is "bacterial SSU rRNA". It matches the Rfam family "Bacterial small subunit ribosomal RNA", at positions 54 to 606 of the family's 1533-position model. Lineage: Bacteria; Bacillati; Actinomycetota; Actinomycetes; Mycobacteriales; Mycobacteriaceae. The record is from RNAcentral.
CAUGCAAGUCGAACGGAAAGGCCUCUUCGGGGGUGCUCGAGUGGCGAACGGGUGAGUAACACGUGGGUGAUCUGCCCUGCACUUUGGGAUAAGCCUGGGAAACUGGGUCUAAUACCGGAUAGGACUACGAAUCGCAUGGUUUGUGGUGGAAAGCUUUUGCGGUGUGGGAUGGGCCCGCGGCCUAUCAGCUUGUUGGUGGGGUGAUGGCCUACCAAGGCGACGACGGGUAGCCGGCCUGAGAGGGUGUCCGGCCACACUGGGACUGAGAUACGGCCCAGACUCCUACGGGAGGCAGCAGUGGGGAAUAUUGCACAAUGGGCGCAAGCCUGAUGCAGCGACGCCGCGUGAGGGAUGGCGGCCUUCGGGUUGUAAACCUCUUUCAGCAUCGACGAAGCGGAAGUGACGGUAGAUGCAGAAGAAGCACCGGCCAACUACGUGCCAGCAGCCGCGGUAAUACGUAGGGUGCGAGCGUUGUCCGGAAUUACUGGGCGUAAAGGGCUCGUAGGUGGUUUGUCGCGUUGUUCGUGAAAACUCACA